Molecule: non-coding RNA, 75 nt
Organism: Parelaphostrongylus tenuis
Lineage: Eukaryota; Metazoa; Nematoda; Chromadorea; Rhabditida; Metastrongylidae
Source: the annotation of a GenBank genome assembly
GCGUCGAUAGCGCAACGGGUUAGAGCGCGCACCCUUGGAAAGGGUGAAAUACGGGUUCGAGUCCCGCCUGGCGCA